Molecule: long non-coding RNA, 1054 nt
Filed under: Brassica rapa (field mustard)
Lineage: Eukaryota; Viridiplantae; Streptophyta; Magnoliopsida; Brassicales; Brassicaceae
Description: long non-coding RNA (BRAP_LNC002153)
Source: RNAcentral
CACCAUUUACCUCAUUUAACCAAAUAUGCUAGUUUUAAAUACUCAAAAUUAUGUUACAAACAAAAUUUAAAAAAUUUAGUAUGGGGCACGUGCCCCACUUUCUAUACAACUAGAUCUGUCUCUGGGUCCGGCUCUGGGCUAAAGCCCAUGAAGCAAGUAUUUUAGGCGCCAAAUAUAAUAAGUAUUUUAAAGACGCCAAAUUUAUCAAAAGUACCUUCAACCUAGUGGUUGCAUUCUUUCUAUUCCCUCUUACCCUACACGGGUACAAAUCCCACCUGGCCUCUUUUUUUUUUUUUUCUUCAUCAUAUUUGUUCCUUUUCUAUGAAUAAUAACUAGACCUUGAUCCGCCCGACCGGGCGGGUAUUUAUUUUAUGUUUUUAGUUUUUUUUUUGUUUAUAUUAAAUGACGUAUUUGUAAUAUUAAAACAUAAAUUCAUAUUGAAAAUUAAUCUUUAUAGUUAUAAGAAAAAUAAAAAUUAAAAGUUUAAUAAAAUAUUCUGAUAUAAAUUUUAAAUUUCGUAAUUAAAAUAAUAUAGAGGCGGUCAUAUUUUUUUCAAUUUCAAAAUCUAAGCUUCCUACACGGGUACAAAUCCCACCUAGCCUCUUUUUUUUUUUCUUCAUCAUAUUUGUUCCUUUUCUAUGAAUAAUAACUAGACCUUGACCCGCCCGACCGGGCGGGUAUUUAUUUUAUGUUUUUAGUUUUUUUUUGUUUAUAUUAAAUGACGUAUUUGUAAUAUUAAAACAUAAAUUCAUAUUGAAAAUUAAUCUUUAUAGUUAUAAUAAAAAUAAAAAUUAAAAGUUUAAUAAAAUAUUCUGAUAUAAAUUUUAAAUUUCGUAAUUAAAAUAAUAUAGAGGCGGUCAUAUUUUUUUCAAUUUCAAAAUCUAAGCUUCCUUAAAGACAAAGAAAAUAAAUUUAUAAAUACAUAAAAUAUAUAAACUUAUUUGGAACUAUAAUUUCAAUUAAAAGAAAUUUGUUAAAGAAAAAUAAUCUUACUGUUGUUAUUUAUUUCUAGAGCUUGACCCGUGACCGUAUAAAUAUUUUCUUUCACUUUAAU